UUGAUUUCAUAUUUCAGAAACAAGUUUUUGUUUUGUUUUGCUUGUUUGUUUUUUGUGGUCCUGGGGAUCUUACUAAGUGCCUCACACAUGCUAGGCACACACUCUACCACUGAGCUGUAUCUCUUGUCCUUUUUUGUUUUAUUUUGAGACAGACUCCUGCUAUAUCGCCCAGGGUCACCUUGAACUCACAGUCCUCCUGCUGCAGCCUCUGGAGUAGCUGGGAUUGUAGUCAUGUGCCACCAUGCCUGGCCAGAAACAAUGUUUUAGAUGUUGGUUUCCUGGGCCAUUUGGUGGAGAUUAUAGGUAAGAGUUCUAUUUUUUUUUAAGAGUUCUAUUUUUAUAUAUGGUCUAGCCUUUGUCUAUAUAUUCAGUCUGUCAGACUAGAUAGAAUUAUCUUCCCGGAGGUUAAAAAGCCUUGGGGGCACUUAUUUAGCCUGUUUCCAGUUCCCAGGGGUUGUUGUU
Heterocephalus glaber (naked mole-rat) is the source of this 462-nucleotide long non-coding RNA. The record is from Ensembl. NCBI's taxonomy places the organism in Eukaryota, Metazoa, Chordata, Mammalia, Rodentia, Bathyergidae.